Molecule: ribosomal RNA, 389 nt
Filed under: uncultured bacterium
Lineage: Bacteria
Description: bacterial SSU rRNA
Rfam family: Bacterial small subunit ribosomal RNA
Source: RNAcentral
GACGAACGCUGGCGGCGUGCUUAACACAUGCAAGUCGAGCGGUAAGGCCCUUUCGGGGGUACACGAGCGGCGAACGGGUGAGUAACACGUGGGUGACCUGCCCUCAGCUCUGGGAUAAGCCUGGGAAACUGGGUCUAAUACUGGAUAUGACUCCACGGUGCAUGUCGUGGGGUGGAAAGCCUUGUGCGGCUGAGGAUGGGCCCGCGGCCUAUCAGCUUGUUGGUGGGGUGANGGCCUACCAAGGCGACGACGGGGUAGCCGGCCUGAGAGGGCGACCGGCCACACUGGGACUGAGACACGGCCCAGACUCCUACGGGAGGCAGCAGUGGGGAAUCUUGCGCAAUGGGCGAAAGCCUGACGCAGCGACGCCGCGUGAGGGAUGACGGCCU